UGUUGAGCCAAUCGCCCAGUGGUUUAAGGUGCUAGGCGUACAAACAGAAAGGCCCAAGUUUGAUUCCUAGUUUGUUUCAACCCUUCACGUUAGAUGACCUCACUGAUACCAGGGCGGAACAGCUGCGACCUGUCAUACAACCUUGAUGACGUCAUUUCCGUUGUUUGGCUGGAGAGUUAAUCUUCUGCCUACUAGCGUCCUAUGUGGUCUGCCGACUCACAGGUAGGAAAGCAAGGCGAUGGUUGUAAGUUGGCCACUUGCCGCGUCCAUGCCCUGGCUGACACGCUCAAUGAAGAAGAG
Molecule: long non-coding RNA, 300 nt
Organism: Ornithodoros turicata
Lineage: Eukaryota; Metazoa; Arthropoda; Arachnida; Ixodida; Argasidae
Exons: 3
Source: RefSeq, a predicted model, not a curated record